AGAGUUUGAUCCUGGCUCAGAUUGAACGCUGGCGGCAGGCCUAACACAUGCAAGUCGAGCGGGGUUUUCGGACCUAGCGGCGGACGGGUGAGUAAUGCGUAGGAAGCUACCCGAUAGAGGGGGAUACCAGUUGGAAACGACUGUUAAUACCGCAUAAUGUCUACGGACCAAAGUGUGGGACCUUCGGGCCACAUGCUAUCGGAUGCGCCUACGUGGGAUUAGCUAGUUGGUGAGGUAAUGGCUCACCAAGGCGACGAUCUCUAGCUGGUUUGAGAGGAUGAUCAGCCACACUGGAACUGAGACACGGUCCAGACUCCUACGGGAGGCAGCAGUGGGGAAUAUUGGACAAUGGGCGCAAGCCUGAUCCAGCAAUACCGCGUGAGGGAUGACGGCCUUCGGGUUGUAAAGCACUUUUUUCAGGGAGAAUCAAUGACGGAC
This 438-nucleotide ribosomal RNA is filed under the name uncultured Rheinheimera sp. RNAcentral's name for it is "bacterial SSU rRNA". It matches the Rfam family "Bacterial small subunit ribosomal RNA", at positions 8 to 460 of the family's 1533-position model. The record is from RNAcentral. Lineage: Bacteria; Pseudomonadati; Pseudomonadota; Gammaproteobacteria; Chromatiales; Chromatiaceae.